GACGAACGCUGGCGGCGUGCUUAACACAUGCAAGUCGAACGGAAAGGCCCUGCUUGCAGGGUACUCGAGUGGCGAACGGGUGAGUAACACGUGGGUGAUCUGCCCUGCACUUCGGGAUAAGCCUGGGAAACUGGGUCUAAUACCGGAUAGGAGCCAUUUUUAGUGUGAUGGUUGGAAAGUUUUUUCGGUGUAGGAUGAGCUCGCGGCCUAUCAGCUUGUUGGUGGGGUAAUGGCCUACCAAGGCGGCGACGGGUAGCCGGCCUGAGAGGGUGGACGGCCACAUUGGGACUGAGAUACAGCCCAGACUCCUACGGGAGGCAGCAGUGGGGAAUGUUGCACAAUGGGCGCAAGCCUGAUGCAGCGACGCCGCGUGGGGGAUGACGGCCUUCGGUUUGUAAACGCCUUUCGCUAGGGACGAAGCUUUUUGUGACGGUACCUAGAGAAGAAGCACCGGCUAACUACGUG
This 465-nucleotide ribosomal RNA is filed under the name uncultured bacterium. RNAcentral describes it as "partial 16S ribosomal RNA". It matches the Rfam family "Bacterial small subunit ribosomal RNA", at positions 28 to 507 of the family's 1533-position model. The record is from RNAcentral.